GACAGAGGUGCCAAGCGUUAGGCGGAAUCACUGGGCUUAAAGCGUGUGUAGGCGGGUGCCUAAGUCUCUUGUGAAAUCCCACGGCUCAACCGUGGAACGGCUGGGUAUACUGGGUGCCUUGGGUCAUCCAGGGGCUGCCGGAACAAAUGGUGGAGCGGUGAAAUGCGUAGAUAUCGUGAGGAACACCAGAGGCGAAGGCGGCUACCUGGACAAUUGCUGACGCUCAGGCACGAAAGCGUGGGGAGCAAAAGGG
Molecule: ribosomal RNA, 253 nt
Filed under: uncultured bacterium
Lineage: Bacteria
Description: partial 16S ribosomal RNA
Rfam family: Bacterial small subunit ribosomal RNA
Source: RNAcentral